AGCAAUAAGAAAUAUAUAUUCACCUUUGGCUUACAAGACCAAUGCUCUUUACUUAAGCUAUUAUUGC
This 67-nucleotide transfer RNA is filed under the name Charonia tritonis (giant triton snail). Its description in RNAcentral is "tRNA-Thr". Lineage: Eukaryota; Metazoa; Mollusca; Gastropoda; Littorinimorpha; Ranellidae. The record is from RNAcentral.